This 326-nucleotide long non-coding RNA is filed under the name Vitis vinifera (wine grape). RNAcentral's name for it is "long non-coding RNA (VVIN_LNC005766)". Lineage: Eukaryota; Viridiplantae; Streptophyta; Magnoliopsida; Vitales; Vitaceae. The record is from RNAcentral.
UGGGGCUUAUUCCUCUCGAAUUUUCCCCUGGCAGCUCGAACAGUGAAAGAACGGCGCUGAGUGGUGGUGGCAGUGGUGGUGGGGGUUAAAAGGAAGGUGGUGGAGGGUUUACUGAGAAAGGAGGAGGAGAGGUUAGAGGGAUGUUUUCUGGUACGGGGAGAAGGGGUGCAGAGAGCGAGAGUGGUUGAGGAAGAAGGAGAAGAAGGAGGAGGAGAUGGGUAUAUGAGCUUUGUGGAAGCAGAAGCUGAAGUUGCUGAAAUUGCCAUUGAAGGAGGCUAGAAUUUAGAGAGAGCGAGAGAGAGAGAGGGAGGUGGGUGUAGGAGUGG